Molecule: ribosomal RNA, 421 nt
Filed under: Acanthamoeba sp.
Lineage: Eukaryota; Discosea; Longamoebia; Acanthamoebidae
Description: SSU rRNA
Rfam family: Eukaryotic small subunit ribosomal RNA
Source: RNAcentral
UGGCCCAGAUCGUUUACCGUGAAAAAAUUAGAGUGUUCAAAGCAGGCAGACCAUUUCUUCUGCCACCGAAUACAUUAGCAUGGGAUAAUGGAAUAGGACCCUGUCCUCCUAUUUUGCGUGUUGGUUUUCGAGGACCGGGUAAUGAUUAAUAGGGAUAGUUGGGGGCAUUAAUAUUUAAUUGUCAGAGGUGAAAUUCUUGGAUUUAUGAAAGAUUGACUUCUGCGAAAGCAUCUGCCAAGGAUGUUUUCAUUAAUCAAGAACGAAAGUUAGGGGAUCGAAGACGAUCAGAUACCGUCGUAGUCUUAACCAUAAACGAUGCCGACCAGCGAUUAGGAGACGUUGAAUACAAAACACCACCGUCGGGUCGGCCGUCCUUGGCCGUCGUGCGCGGCGACGCGCGCGGCGGCGAGGGCGGUGUCUG